AGGAGUUGUGAGCGGCUGGCGAUGGUCGGUGUACGGCGAGGCAGAUGGAGACCUAAGAGGCAUUGGGGAGAGCUGAUUAGGCAUGACAUGGCUAGAAUGCGGGUUUCUGAGGACAUGGCCCUUGAUAGGAAAGUAUGGAGGUCUAGUAUCAGGGUUGUAGGAUCGGGGCCCCUAGAGUUUUUUGUACUCCUCACCCGGGGUGGGGUUGGGUUAGGCUUGGCAGGGCUAUCCAUAGAUGAUUUGUGUAUUGGAUUGUGUCUCCCUUAUGGUAGUUAUUUAUGGUAGUUACUGUCUGAUAUUAUUGCAUGCG
This 310-nucleotide long non-coding RNA is filed under the name Nicotiana benthamiana. Its description in RNAcentral is "long non-coding RNA (NBEN_LNC035689)". The record is from RNAcentral. Lineage: Eukaryota; Viridiplantae; Streptophyta; Magnoliopsida; Solanales; Solanaceae.